Molecule: non-coding RNA, 510 nt
Organism: Callithrix jacchus (white-tufted-ear marmoset)
Lineage: Eukaryota; Metazoa; Chordata; Mammalia; Primates; Cebidae
Source: RefSeq, a predicted model, not a curated record
AGUCUCUUCCAGCGGCACUAUGAUCUUCUGGCUCUGGGAUUUUCACUUUUCCCCCAGAAAGGAUGUGAUGUGGUUUUUUGUUGUUCUAUAAAUUUUUUUCUCCCAAGUUUCAUGACUUCAAAGUAAAUUUCCAAGUUUGUCAAGAAUGCUAUCCCAUUCUUGUCUAGGGGACCAGAGAGCUGAUGAAAAGAAGUUUGUCUGUUGCCCAGGAUCCUACACUCUUGCCUGUGAAGUGUUAAGAAGCAUAAACUUUUGUAAAGAACUGCUAGUUUUUCAGGUUUUUCGUUGGAAUAUACGUUGCACAUUUAUGGCGAUUCUGAGUGUGAGGGCAGAUUUCUGCCAGGCUCAGCACAGCGUUUUCGCUGACAAGUGAGCUUGGAGGUUCUAUGUGCCAUAAUUAACAUUGCCUUGAAGACUCCUGGACACCGAGACUGGCCUCAGAAAUAGUUGGCUUUUUUUUUUUUUUUAAAUUGCAAGCAUAUUUCUUUUAAUGACUCCAGUAAAAUUAAG